GGGAGUGGCACACUGCUCAGUAACACGUAGCUAACCUACCCUUAGGACGUGGAUACCCCCGAGAAAUUGGGGUUAAUCCGCGAUAGAUGUAAUGUCCUGGAAUGGUAUUACGUCUAAAGGUAUUUCAUACAUGUUUGAAAUAUGCCUAAGGAUGGGGCUGCGGCCGAUCAGGCUGUUGGUGAGGUAAUGGCUCACCAAACCUUUGACCGGUACGGGCCAUGAGAGUGGUAGCCCGGAGAUGGACACUGAGACAAGGGUCCAGGCCCUAAGGGGCGCAGCAACCGCGAAACCUCCACAAUGCACUCACGUGCGAUGGGGCUAUCUCGAGUGCCACCUGAUGAAGGUGGCUUUUCCUUGGUCUUCAAAGCCUUGGGAAUAAGAGGGGGGCAAGACUGGUGUCAGCCGCCGCGGUAACACCAGCCCCUCGAGUGGUGGGGAUGAUUAUUUGGCCUAAAGCGUCCGUAGCCGGCCGUGAAAGUCUUCCGUUAAAUCCAGCGUCUCAAGCGUUGGACCGCGGGAGAUACUACAUGGCUAGAGAGUGGGAGAGGUCAGCGGUAUUCUGGGGGUAGGGGCGAAAUCCUUUGAUCCCCGGAGGACCACCAGUGGCGAAGGCUGCUGACUAGAACACGUCUGACGGUCAGGGACGAAAGCUGGGGUAGCGAACCGGAUUAGAUACCCGGGUAGUCCCAGCCGUAAACGAUGCAUGCUAGGUGUUGGGUUGGCCACGAGCCACCCCAGUGCCGCAGGGAAGCCGUUAAGCAUGCCGCCUGGGAAGUACGAUCGCAAGAUUGAAACUUAAAGGAAUUGGCGGGGGAGCACCACCAGGCGUGAAGCCUGCGGUUUAAUUGGAUUCAACGCCGGG
Molecule: ribosomal RNA, 862 nt
Filed under: uncultured archaeon
Lineage: Archaea
Description: bacterial SSU rRNA
Rfam family: Archaeal small subunit ribosomal RNA
Source: RNAcentral